GACGAACGCUGGCGGCGUGCUUAACACAUGCAAGUCGAACGGAAAGGCCUCUUUCGGGGGGUACUCGAGUGGCGAACGGGUGAGUAACACGUGAGUAACCUGCCCUUGACUUUGGGAUAACUUCAGGAAACUGGGGCUAAUACCGGAUAGGAGCUCCUGCUGCAUGGUGGGGGUUGGAAAGUUUCGGCGGUUGGGGAUGGACUCGCGGCUUAUCAGCUUGUUGGUGGGGUAGUGGCUUACCAAGGCUUUGACGGGUAGCCGGCCUGAGAGGGUGACCGGCCACAUUGGGACUGAGAUACGGCCCAGACUCCUACGGGAGGCAGCAGUGGGGAAUAUUGCACAAGGGGUGGAAGCCUGAUGCAGCAACGCCGUGUGCGGGAUGACGGCCUUCGGGUUGUAAACCGUUUUCGCUCACGACGAAGCUUUGUGUGACGGUAGUGGGUAAAGAAGCACCGGCUAACUACGUG
RNAcentral lists this ribosomal RNA (467 nucleotides) under uncultured bacterium. Its description in RNAcentral is "partial 16S ribosomal RNA". It matches the Rfam family "Bacterial small subunit ribosomal RNA", at positions 28 to 507 of the family's 1533-position model. The record is from RNAcentral.